UAGGGAAUCUUCCACAAUGGACGCAAGUCUGAUGGAGCAACGCCGCGUGAGUGAAGAAGGUUUUCGGACCGUAAAGCUCUGUUGUUGGUGAAGAAGGAUAGAGGUAGUAACUGGCCUUUAUUUGACGGUAAUCAACCAGAAAGUCACGGCUAACUACGUGCCAGCAGCCGCGGUAAUACGUAGGUGGCAAGCGUUGUCCGGAUUUAUUGGGCGUAAAGCGAGCGCAGGCGGAAGAAUAAGUCUGAUGUGAAAGCCCUCGGCUUAACCGAGGAAUUGCAUCAGAAACUGUUUUUCUUGAGUGCAGAAGAGGAGAGUAGAACUCCAUGUGUAGCGGUGGAAUGCGUAGAUAUAUGGAAGAAUACCAGUGGCGAAGGCGGCUCUCUGGUCUGCAACUGACGCUGAGGCUCGAAAGCAUGGGUAGCGAACAGGAUUAGAUACCCUGGUAGUCCAUGCCGUA
This 457-nucleotide ribosomal RNA is filed under the name uncultured bacterium. RNAcentral's name for it is "partial 16S ribosomal RNA". It matches the Rfam family "Bacterial small subunit ribosomal RNA", at positions 355 to 804 of the family's 1533-position model. The record is from RNAcentral.